GCACAAACCUAUUAUAUCCUUUCUGAAGGGAAGGAAGGAGGCGCUUUCUGCUUAUAACCUCCACAUGCGUACCCGUAUCUUCUCCGGCUCCUACAGGAAGAAAGAAAAGCGCAGAUCCCAAGACCCAAAGGAGCACACCGUCCCUCUCCUGUUGCGUUCCAUAGCUGUUCCUUUCUCAGCACCGGUCACCCCCUGCUUGUUAAUCGUUCGCCAUAGGAGUAUUUCCUCUACCUCCGUUGUUCCACAAAGGAAGCAGAAGAACAAUGAGAGCGUCUGCUGUCUCGAUGCAGCUCGCUCUCUUCCUCGUCUCCGUCGCCUCCCUGGCGGCUUCCCUUGCCGACGGAGUCACCCCGCAGAUCUACUCCGACGAGCAACAACCUCUCACCGCCAGUGAGUUCGGCUCGACUACUGUCCCGGCCUUCCCGUUGGCUCGGACGGACAACCACAGCGCGUGCCGACUCGACCUCUCUGACGAGCUCUUUGGCGGAGUCGGGGACGCCUGUGUCCGCGGCGGCCUCGACCGGAGCCGCUGCUGCCCCGUGCUCGCCGCCUGGCUCUUCGCGGCGCAUGCCCGUUCCGCCCUGGAGAUCCGCCCGCCGCCUGCGGCGGAGGACGGGCUGGGUGGCGCGGACGGGCCGAUGAUGCCGGACGACAACCAGAAGUGCGUGGACUCGCUGCAGAGCGCGCUGGAGCGGCGUGACAUCCGCCUGCCGCGGCCCAACGCCACCUGCGACACCGUGCUUUGCUACUGCGGCAUCCGCCUCCACCAGAUCGGGUCGCUCCGCUGUCCAACCGCCUUCAACGUCAGCGGCGGCGCCACCGUCGCCCGUAACGUCACGCCGACGGCAUCUGUUCGGCAGCUCGAGCGCGACUGCCGGAAUGCUUCCUACGCUGGCUGCAAUCGCUGCCUCCACUCGCUGGAGAAGCUGAAGGAGACUGGUGGCGGUGUUGGGGGCGACAACGGGGAUCGCGCGACGAAGAUGCUGGGGCGGGACUGCCAGCUGAUGGGUCUGACGUGGCUGCUGGCGAGGAACAAGACGGCGUACAUCCCCACCGUGUCAGCCGUCCUGCGUGCCGUGCUCUACAGCGCCCACCCACCGCAGGCCGAUGGCAGUGGAGGAGGGUCCGGCUACAAGUGCAGCCCGGACCAGGAGAACAUGCCCCUCGCCGUCGACUCCCUCCAAUUCCCGCACCAACCUGACUCCGCCGCCGCCGCCGCCACUUAUCGUUCCGCCUCCCCUUCCGCCCUCGCGCUUUCCUCCAUCGUGCUGCCCAUCCUGCUGCUCUCUCGUCUUCCCCUGCUGUAGGUCGUCGCCGUUGGAAUACAAGAGCGUAUCACUGGCGUGCCCUGUUUUUUUGCGUUUUGUCCGCUAACUAUUUUCCAGAGGACGGCGGUCAGUGCAGUCAACAAUCAUACAUAAACUGUAAUGUGUGGUGCCGAGCAAACCAAAAUUGGCGAUUGGGUGAGGUUGAUGUUAGAAUAUGACGUUGUCAGAGAGCAUUCAUGGUGGUGGAAUCGGCUGCGUAUACCAUGCGUGAAUUGACACGAACCAGAUACUGGUGCUGCUACGUUGAUCUCUCUGCAACUUGGCAGAAAUCGAACCGCGGAGUGUUGUCGUGGACGUGUUAUGGGGCUACGAGGGCGCCGGCUUCGUCAGCCACCGCGGGCAACGUCUCAGCCGUCUCCCGUAGCAUCCGCACGACACGAAGCGUUCAUUCUCGUCUUUUCUUAACGGCUGCUCCCUUUCCAUUGGCAAUUACCGCUUAAACUCGAGGUUUUCAUUUCAUUUUACCAAAUAUUGGGGCUUAUUUUAUAAACAUUUAUUUUUCAAAUUUGAAAUAUGAUAUUAAUAUGCCAAA
This is an RNA transcript of Musa acuminata AAA Group (dessert banana), 1860 nucleotides long. RefSeq lists it as uncharacterized. The transcript has 3 exons. The record is from RefSeq and is a predicted model, not a curated record. Lineage: Eukaryota; Viridiplantae; Streptophyta; Magnoliopsida; Zingiberales; Musaceae.